CUUGUUUGUGGAGAGGAAUGAAUUUGACCAUCUUGUGUGUUUAUGGAGAAGACCAAAAGCUGCUAAGGCAGAUAUUUCCAGUGGUAGAAACAGAGCGGAUUGUUGCAUGAUGGCCUUUUUCCGUUUUGUCAACUGAACGUCUACUAGUGAGGCUCAGCAAGUUCUUGUCAUGAUCCACCAUCUCCAAGAAAGCUGAAGAGCAAAAACACAAAGAACAUCAGUCCUGUUGGGGAUGAGGAAUGAACAUGGCUUUAUUGUGCCAAAACAGAAAAGACUGAAAAGCUCCUAGAAUGAACAAAUCAUCAGUGCAUAAUUUCUGGAAUUUGGGCAGAAAAUGACUGAAUAUGAAAGACUGCAUCAAGAGGUACAGUAGAAGGAAAGCUGGUAGUGAAAACAUUUGUCUUUACUGACAUGGUCCAGACUAAAGAGAAGCGUGUCUGAGGCCAGAGAUGGAGGAGUCUUUGUUGACGGUGUAUUCAAUGGCCACCAAGUGCAGCACUACAGCCUGAAACUGUGAAGACUGCAUUCCCAAACUACUCUGUGACAGCACAAAUGUUACACCCAUAAA
Carassius carassius (crucian carp) is the source of this 568-nucleotide long non-coding RNA. RefSeq lists it as uncharacterized. The transcript is spliced from 5 exons. NCBI's taxonomy places the organism in Eukaryota, Metazoa, Chordata, Actinopteri, Cypriniformes, Cyprinidae. The record is from RefSeq and is a predicted model, not a curated record.